AUACGGAGGGUGCAAGCGUUGUUCGGAAUUAUUGGGCGUAAAGAGCAUGUAGGCGGUUCGUUAAGUCUGAUGUGAAAGCCCGGGGCUCAACCCCGGAAGUGCAUUGGAUACUGGCGAACUUGAGUACGGGAGAGGAAAGUGGAAUUUCGAGUGUAGGGGUGAAAUCCGUAGAUAUUCGAAGGAACACCAGUGGCGAAGGCGGCUUUCUGGACCGAUACUGACGCUGAGAUGCGAAAGCGUGGGGAGCAAACAGGAUUAGAAACCCUAGUAGUCC
This 274-nucleotide ribosomal RNA is filed under the name uncultured bacterium. RNAcentral's name for it is "partial 16S ribosomal RNA". It matches the Rfam family "Bacterial small subunit ribosomal RNA", at positions 523 to 796 of the family's 1533-position model. The record is from RNAcentral.